AACGCAUCUUGCGCUCCUUGGUAUUCCGAGGAGCAUGCCUGUUUGAGUGUCAUUAAAUUCUCAACCAAUAUCAGCUUUUGCUGGUUUGGCUUGGAAGUGGGGGAAUUGUUUUGCAGGCUUUCAAAAGUCCGCUCCCCUGAAAUGCAUUAGCAGUGCCCUUGUGGUCGUACAGCUAUUGGUGUGAUAACUAUCUAUGCCAUUAGUUUGAUCCACAUACUUUGGGGUUGUGCUGCUUCUAAUCGUCUUCUUUACUGAGACAAUAAAUGACAAUUUUGGCCUCAAAUCAGGUAGGACUACCCGCUGAACUUAA
This 310-nucleotide unclassified non-coding RNA is filed under the name uncultured fungus. RNAcentral describes it as "sequence contains ITS2". The stretch from base 1 to 52 matches the Rfam family "5.8S ribosomal RNA", at positions 103 to 154 of the family's 154-position model. Lineage: Eukaryota; Fungi. The record is from RNAcentral.